This 207-nucleotide ribosomal RNA is filed under the name uncultured bacterium. RNAcentral's name for it is "partial 16S ribosomal RNA". It matches the Rfam family "Bacterial small subunit ribosomal RNA", at positions 568 to 774 of the family's 1533-position model. The record is from RNAcentral.
CGUGUAGGCGGCCGAUCAAGUCGGGUGUGAAAGCCCUCGGCUCAACCGAGGAAUUGCACCCGAUACUGAUUAGCUAGAGUCCGGGAGGGGGUAGCGGAAUUCCCAGUGUAGCGGUGAAAUGCGUAGAUAUUGGGAAGAACACCAGUGGCGAAGGCGGCUACCUGGACCGGAACUGACGCUGAGGCGCGAAAGCUAGGGGAGCGAAUG